This is a non-coding RNA of Callithrix jacchus (white-tufted-ear marmoset), 262 nucleotides long. Lineage: Eukaryota; Metazoa; Chordata; Mammalia; Primates; Cebidae. The record is from RefSeq and is a predicted model, not a curated record.
CCUCAGUACUUCACUUUGUACAUAAAGGAGGCCAGAGGGUAGUAAUGAUAGAAACACAGGAAGAAAGAGACCUAUGGAAAGAAAAAAAUUACAGAAUUAAAAGACUAACAACUAUAUGUCCUUGAAGCCACCUAUAAAGCCUUAGAAAAGGCACUGAAGGACUCUGGACCAGUUUACUCAUCUGAAAAAUAGCAUCAUGGUUAAUCAAAGUAACUUUUUCAUAGGAUGUUGAGAAGACUAAAAUAAAUCCUGUUAGCAGGGA